Molecule: non-coding RNA, 21 nt
Organism: Caenorhabditis elegans
Lineage: Eukaryota; Metazoa; Nematoda; Chromadorea; Rhabditida; Rhabditidae
Source: Ensembl
UAGCAGUUCGAGGAAAUAAAA